Molecule: microRNA precursor, 98 nt
Organism: Loxodonta africana (African savanna elephant)
Lineage: Eukaryota; Metazoa; Chordata; Mammalia; Proboscidea; Elephantidae
Source: Ensembl
GUGUUAAUCUGUAGUACCCGAAGAGAGGUUUCCUGGGUUUCGGUUUCUUUUUUGAUGAUGAAACACACCUGGUUAACCUCUUUUCCAGUAUCAGAUCC